RNAcentral lists this unclassified non-coding RNA (230 nucleotides) under Hevea brasiliensis (rubber tree). The record is from RNAcentral. Lineage: Eukaryota; Viridiplantae; Streptophyta; Magnoliopsida; Malpighiales; Euphorbiaceae.
UUUUUGGCCCUUAAUCCUGCUGCGAACUACAUAACUGGACAGGUAUUCGCUAUUGAUGGCGGAAUGGUUAUGUAAGCACUGCUGCAGCUUUGUCGAUUUUCGUUGGCAGUUGGCCAGCACUGAAUCUGCGGGAUGACUUUUUCAUGGUUGCUGAGUAUGGAUUAUGAAAGCUACAUUGUUUUUCUUGCAAUUUUUUUUUAGUUUUGAGGCUUUUGGUUAUUAGAAUUCAG